Molecule: ribosomal RNA, 425 nt
Filed under: uncultured bacterium
Lineage: Bacteria
Description: bacterial SSU rRNA
Rfam family: Bacterial small subunit ribosomal RNA
Source: RNAcentral
GUAGGGAAUCUUGCGCAAUGGGCGAAAGCCUGACGCAGCCAUGCCGCGUGAAUGAUGAAGGUCUUAGGAUUGUAAAAUUCUUUCACCGGGGACGAUAAUGACGGUACCCGGAGAAGAAGCCCCGGCUAACUUCGUGCCAGCAGCCGCGGUAAUACGAAGGGGGCUAGCGUUGCUCGGAAUUACUGGGCGUAAAGGGAGCGUAGGCGGAUAGUUUAGUCAGAGGUGAAAGCCCAGGGCUCAACCUAGGAAUUGCCUUUGAUACUGGCUAUCUUGAGUAUGGAAGAGGUAUGUGGAACUCCGAGUGUAGAGGUGAAAUUCGUAGAUAUUCGGAAGAACACCAGUGGCGAAGGCGACAUACUGGUCCAUUACUGACGCUGAGGCUCGAAAGCGUGGGGAGCAAACAGGAUUAGAUACCCCAGUAGUCC